RNAcentral lists this ribosomal RNA (497 nucleotides) under uncultured bacterium. RNAcentral's name for it is "partial 16S ribosomal RNA". It matches the Rfam family "Bacterial small subunit ribosomal RNA", at positions 28 to 507 of the family's 1533-position model. The record is from RNAcentral.
GAUGAACGCUGGCGGCGUGCCUAAUACAUGCAAGUCGAGCGAACAGAUGAGGAGCUUGCUCCUCUGACGUUAGCGGCGGACGGGUGAGUAACACGUGGAUAACCUACCUAUAAGACUGGGAUAACUUCGGGAAACCGGAGCUAAUACCGGAUAAUAUAUUGAACCGCAUGGUUCAAUAGUGAAAGACGGUUUUGCUGUCACUUAUAGAUGGAUCCGCGCCGCAUUAGCUAGUUGGUAAGGUAACGGCUUACCAAGGCGACGAUGCGUAGCUGACCUGAGAGGGUGAUCGGCCACACUGGAACUGAGACACGGUCCAGACUCCUACGGGAGGCAGCAGUAGGGAAUCUUCCGCAAUGGGCGAAAGCCUGACGGAGCAACGCCGCGUGAGUGAUGAAGGUCUUCGGAUCGUAAAACUCUGUUAUUAGGGAAGAACAAAUGUGUAAGUAACUAUGCACGUCUUGACGGUACCUAAUCAGAAAGCCACGGCUAACUACGUG